This 209-nucleotide unclassified non-coding RNA is filed under the name plant metagenome. Its description in RNAcentral is "partial contains small subunit ribosomal RNA, internal transcribed spacer 1, and 5.8S ribosomal RNA". The record is from RNAcentral.
UUUCCGUUGGUGAACCAGCGGAGGGAUCAUUACUGGAAUCGCAAGAUCCCACAACCCUGUGAACCUACCGAAACGUUGCCUCGGCGGGUGCCCGGCCUCUGCGCCGGGCGCUGCGCCCGCCGGCGGCCCCCUACUCUGUCUCUGCAGCGUGGCAUCUCAGAGUCCCAGAAAACAAGUCAAAACUUUCAACAACGGAUCUCUUGGCUCUA